Long non-coding RNA from Onychostoma macrolepis, 1289 nucleotides. RefSeq lists it as uncharacterized. The transcript has 3 exons. Lineage: Eukaryota; Metazoa; Chordata; Actinopteri; Cypriniformes; Cyprinidae. The record is from RefSeq and is a predicted model, not a curated record.
UUUCCCAUUCAUUCUCAAUGGUAGUGCUAAACCACUACGGAUGCAAUAUACUUUCGGCCGCUAGCGCUCUCGUGGCGCUCUUCCGUGUUUCGGCACCGCGGGAAGUUUGAAUUCGCAGAAGAAGACGACUGUUUAAUUCAACGCAUUCUCAGCGCAUCUGUCAAAGAGACCACUGUUUCUACACUGCUGUCAUCUUCUCCUGGUACCCAUGCAGAUCCUCAGUCAGAUGCAGGAAGUACAUAUACACCACCUCUGCCUCUGCUGGCCUCACCUGAGACCCCCUGGUCCUGUGAAGACUGGUGGCAGGGUGUAUGUACUGGAGCACAAACACAGAGCCAAUUGACAACUUGCUUAAACACUGUGGGAAGAAGCACAUCCUCAGGAGCAUGCAGCAGUGCUCCACAAUUCCUCUACUGAUCCAAACAGCAUGCUCCAUUCGACCACAAAACUGCACAUUUCACAGUAUGUCAAGCACCUGGCCAAACUGCAGAACACCAGUUCUUCAUUAAACAACUCCAGAGAAACGUCUUGAAAGCGGGCAGUAAAACAACCAGUGUGCCAGUGGUUAUAAUGAAGCCUGCGGAUGUAAAACCACCAGCACCUGCUCUGACCACACUCCUAACUCAUGAGACCAUUGAGACAAUUGUGUUAUGGAGCGGCAGCAGCAACCUGAGCAGGAGAAGACUUGUCUUGCUUGUGGACAGCCAAAGAUGGUUCCUCUAUCCACUUUUUCCUUAAUCAGCAAGAUCCUGUCAGGUACUUCUACUGUUCCACAAAGGUUUUUAAUGCUUACAGUGAUUAAGAACUAACACACCCCAGAGUUAUUUAAGAGUGAACUUGAGGACACAAAGAAACGGGUGCAGGAGAAAGGACAGCAAAAACACAAAAGGCCUGAAACUGAACACGUUAGUCGCUUGUGCAGAUUUUGUAAAAUGGAGCUGAAGCAGGGUCCAAACAGUCCUCACAUACACACAGGCUUUCCUGGUGUAGCAGGGAAAUAUGUUCAUUGCCCUGCUGAAGUAUUUUACAUUUACCAACCUCAGGACAUGCAGAAAGAUGACCUGGAAAGAGUUGAAUGAGUCUGAGAUGGGUGGCAGAAAAAAAUAAAAUAAAUGACAUUUCUUGAUCUUUUGCCCCUUAAUAAUAUUUAACUCAUGUAUAUACUGUAUAUUUUGAUUUGUUUAUUGUUCAGUGUGAGACUAAUAUGUAUAUUUUGUCAGAAUUCUAUUUUUCUUUAUACUUUAUUAUUUUGGAUCAGUAUUUACUAAUCUUAAAAAGUGCUUAAAGCA